RNAcentral lists this long non-coding RNA (508 nucleotides) under Androctonus crassicauda. Lineage: Eukaryota; Metazoa; Arthropoda; Arachnida; Scorpiones; Buthidae. The record is from RNAcentral.
CUAAUUCAUGAAAAUUUUUUCAUGUUUUAUUAUUUAUUUAUUUUUUUGAGUGGGUGCUGCAUGCUAGCUAAGAAUUCCCACCAUUUCCUUCACAGGAAAUUUCUGUUCCCCCUACUAAACUCAGUACUGUCUCCUAUUGGCAUUAAAAGUACAAGGUGGCACAUAGGAGUGGGAGAUUUUGAAUCUCAUAUUACAGAGUCAUUGUUAAAUUUGAGAAUGCUAUGAGAAUGUAGUGUAGAUGAUGCCAUUUCAGUUGCUAUGGAGUAGUGGUCAGGGGAGCAGCAUGCUCGCAUAUUACAAAAACAACGAUUGUUGUGAAGCUGCAGGACAUGAAUUUUAGUGUCAUUUUCAACUAUGCCAUCAUGAUAUGGUUCUGUCGACCCACAUUGUGAAGAAAUGGGCAGAAAGUUUUGAAGCAAUGAUUUCAACAUUGAACUUGAAAUAUGCAGGAUCAAGAAAAAUGGUUCAAACUCCAGAGACUAUCCAAGCAGUAAAUGCCACGUCAAGC